This 458-nucleotide ribosomal RNA is filed under the name uncultured bacterium. RNAcentral describes it as "partial 16S ribosomal RNA". It matches the Rfam family "Bacterial small subunit ribosomal RNA", at positions 338 to 795 of the family's 1533-position model. The record is from RNAcentral.
CCUACGGGAGACAGCAGUGAGGAAUAUUGGUCAAUGGGCGAGAGCCUGAACCAGCCAAGUCGCGUGAGGGAGUACUGCCCUCUGGGUUGUAAACCUCUUUUGUCGGGGAGCAAAAGCCGGACGUGUCCGGCUGUGAGAGUACCCGAAGCAAAAGAAUCGGCUAACUCCGUGCCAGCAGCCGCGGUACUACGGAGGAUGCGGGCGUUAUCAGGCUUUAGUGGGUUUAAGGGGUGCGCAGGCGGAUUUGUAAGUCAGCGGGAACAUCGUGGGGCUAAACCCCAUCCAGCAGUUGAAACUGGGGAGCUAGAGUGUGAGAGAGGGAGGCGGAAUGCGUGGUGUAGCGGUGAAAUGCAUAGAUAUCACGCAGAACCCCGAUUGCGAAGGCAGCAUACCGGUGCACAACUGACGCUCAGGCACGAAAGCGUGGGUAUCGAACAGGAUUAGAUACCCGAGUAGUC